Molecule: long non-coding RNA, 454 nt
Filed under: Ananas comosus (pineapple)
Lineage: Eukaryota; Viridiplantae; Streptophyta; Magnoliopsida; Poales; Bromeliaceae
Description: long non-coding RNA (ACOM_LNC014922)
Source: RNAcentral
GUCCCUCCCUGCGUGACCAAAAACCCCACGUUCGGGAACCGGUCUCUCAAACUUGAGACCGGUCCCUCGCUGCGCGACAGAACCACCAAGGUUCGGGAACCGGUCUCUCAUCACAGGGGACCGGUUGCAUCAAGGUUUACGCAGUGAGGACCUUGGGGGAACCGGUCUCUCCAUUUCAGAGACCGGUCCCAGAACACAAGAAAGUUCAGAAAAUUUGUUUAAAAACAAUCUAAGCCUUCUGAACUUAUUUUAAACAUGUAUCUUCACCACAAAUGAUCUUUUCUACAUACCUUAGGUGUCGAUCUUUCCGAAUGAGUCUUUGUCCUCCAAUUUGAAUCUUUUCUCAAAAUCUUCUGCAAUCAACUCUUCAAGACUCCAAACAACUUUACGAAAUUCGCCAACCUAUAAAAUCCUUAACAUUAUCGCUACCCGAGAGCAGCAGUUCGGAGAAUAC